RNAcentral lists this transfer RNA (52 nucleotides) under Lycosa singoriensis. RNAcentral describes it as "tRNA-Pro". Lineage: Eukaryota; Metazoa; Arthropoda; Arachnida; Araneae; Lycosidae. The record is from RNAcentral.
CUAAAUAAUUUAAAUAAAAUAUCUACUUUGGAUGUAGAAAAUUCUUCAUAUA